AUUGAACGCUGGCGGAAUGCUUUACACAUGCAAGUCGAACGGCAGCACGGACUUCGGUCUGGUGGCGAGUGGCGAACGGGUGAGUAACAUAUCGGAACGUAUCCAAUAAUGGGGGAUAACGAGUCGAAAGAUUCGCUAAUACCGCAUACGCCCUACGGGGAAAGCUGGGGACCUUCGGGCCUGGCGUUAAUGGAGCGGCCGAUAUCUGAUUAGCUAGUUGGUGAGGUAAAGGCUCACCAAGGCGACGAUCAGUAGCUGGUCUGAGAGGAUGACCAGCCACACUGGAACUGAGACACGGUCCAGACUCCUACGGGAGGCAGCAGUGGGGAAUUUUGGACAAUGGGCGCAAGCCUGAUCCAGCCAUUCCGCGUGAGUGAAGAAGGCCUUCGGGUUGUAAAGCUCUUUAAGUCGGGAGGAAGGGUUGUAGGUUAAUACCUUGCAGCCUUGACGUUACCGACAGAAUAAGCACCGGCUAACUUCGUGCCAGCAGCCGCGGUAA
This 499-nucleotide ribosomal RNA is filed under the name uncultured bacterium. RNAcentral describes it as "partial 16S ribosomal RNA". It matches the Rfam family "Bacterial small subunit ribosomal RNA", at positions 30 to 523 of the family's 1533-position model. The record is from RNAcentral.